AUGGUGAUAAUGGUCCCGA
This 19-nucleotide non-coding RNA is filed under the name Rattus norvegicus (Norway rat). Lineage: Eukaryota; Metazoa; Chordata; Mammalia; Rodentia; Muridae. The record is from RNAcentral.